AUGGUUGAUACUGAAGGACUUGACACAGCAGGCACUCAUUUCUGCGUUCUUCGCAGCCUUGUUUUCUCUUUCAGGACCACAGAACCAGGACUGACCUUGGUCUUUGAAGUUCUUUGCUUGCUGAGAGUAGCAGGAAGUGAAGAACAACACUGUGACUGGAAAUCUGCAGGAGACGGUGGGAGAGCUCGUGCCCUAAGUGCACGGAAACCGAGGCUUGCUUCCCGCUCCUGUCCGGGGUAUUUCCGGCGCUGCUGGGCGGAAGCAGGAAGGGCGAGGAGACCGGACCCCUGGCCUGGGAGAUGAGCCCAGGGCGAGCUCCAGCUGGGCCGUGCCUCAUCUGCGCAGUCUGAGAAGCAGCAGUGGCCACAGAAGGACUCUGGAGGACCUUCUGCUGCGUCCUGGGAAUGGGCCGGGGAAAGGUCCACCCUGCUCUCCCUCCAGCGGUGGAUUACACCAACGCCUAAGUGGUGAGAGAACAGCUAAGUCUUGCUAUCUCUUGGCAGAGGUGUACAGCGUCACAGAGCAUCGGUGUGGGUCUAGGUUGCUCCGUGGUCAUGACGGUUCAAAAGAGGACCAAGAGCACUCCCUAGCUGUGUCAGAAUAAAGACCACACGUGGACAUAUGUGAGAGCUGAAAUGACAGACACUUUCCUCUGGUGGGUGAAACGAGUGAUGGCUGAUUCCCUCUCUGUUGUAGCUCUAGCUUGCUUUGUUAUAAGAAGGACUUAUUAAGAUAUGCAUUUAUAAAAUUGUUCCUGCUUUCUGACAGUGCCAAAUCUAGAGAGAAUGUUGCAUCCUGGGCCCCCUACCCCAAAGCAUCCAAAGUCCAAAACUCCUUCCUAACAUCCUCAUGUGGAGACACCACCAUGUACAAUGUGUUACAGGUGUUCUUUGACUUGAGCGCAUUGACCGUGGACAGAAAGUUGGGAUUAUACAUGGGUAAUGAAAAUAUAUAGUGAGGGGCUGGGGAUUUAGCUCAGUGGUUCCACCACCUGCCUUGAAAGCACAAGGACCUGUGUUUGAUCCCCGGUACCCCCAAAAAGAAAGAGAGAAAAGAGAAAUACAUAUAUACUGAGGGCUGGGAUUUAGUUCAGCAGCACAGUGCCUGGCUGACAAGUACAAGGUCCUGAGUUUGAUACCCGGUACUCGAUCCCUUUAAAAUACUCACCCCGCCUCCUGCCUCCGCCACACUUACUUCACUGUGCCUGCCACUUUCUGAAGCAGUUCUGGAAGUGCUCUUUCGUGAGUGUCGUUAGCAGGUGUGAUGAAAAAGUGUGGUGAAUGCUGCUGCUGAGUGUCAUCCAAUGGACAGGCAGCUCAUUAAGACGUUACAGCGCGUCCUCACCCAGCUUAUUCACUGGGUCUGGCACCAUGGGACUCCCGGCUCUUCCUCAAAGUCAAAAGGACCAUGACAGGUAAAUGUCUGAAUCAAUUCAGGACGUCAAGGCAGCCGGGACAGCACGACUAAUGACACUCACAGAAGCGCUUCAGAAAGUCACAAGAGUGAUGGAAUAAAAGUGUUCGAGAUGAGCAAGUUGAAUAGAAAUGUGUCUUUUAUUAUAUAUUUAAAAAAAUUAAAAACGUUUUUGAUCACAC
Long non-coding RNA from Fukomys damarensis (Damara mole-rat), 1595 nucleotides. The record is from Ensembl. NCBI's taxonomy places the organism in Eukaryota, Metazoa, Chordata, Mammalia, Rodentia, Bathyergidae.